This 250-nucleotide ribosomal RNA is filed under the name uncultured bacterium. RNAcentral describes it as "partial 16S ribosomal RNA". It matches the Rfam family "Bacterial small subunit ribosomal RNA", at positions 524 to 772 of the family's 1533-position model. The record is from RNAcentral.
UACGUAGGGUGCAAGCGUUAAUCGGAAUUACUGGGCGUAAAGCGUGCGCAGGCGGUUUUGUAAGUCUGUCGUGAAAUCCCCGGGCUCAACCUGGGAAUUGCGAUGGAGACUGCAAGGCUAGAAUCUGGCAGAGGGGGGUAGAAUUCCACGUGUGAGCAGUGAAAUGCGUAGAGAUGUGGAGGAACACCGAUGGCGAAGGCAGCCCCCUGGGUCAAGAUUGACGCUCAUGCACGAAAGCGUGGGGAGCAAA